Molecule: long non-coding RNA, 305 nt
Filed under: Capsicum annuum
Lineage: Eukaryota; Viridiplantae; Streptophyta; Magnoliopsida; Solanales; Solanaceae
Description: long non-coding RNA (CANN_LNC006078)
Source: RNAcentral
GGGUAAAGUAGGGAUGUUCUGCCAGUUUAUCAACAUGGAGUAAUUUCUAUUAUCUGUAAAUUAAAACAACUCAAAGGCAGAUGUGUUAAUUUCCGUAUAUGAUAAGUAAUGCAAAAUAUUUGCCAUGAAAUAACCACGUAGAGUUGUUUGAGUCGUAGCCAAGUUCGUCUAUAGGACAUAGUGGAUAUACUUGCCUUUGAUCCAAACAAACGCACAUAAGAACAUAAGAUAGUUAUAUCACACAAAAACAUUAUAAUAACGCGUAUCCUAGCUGGGGUAACCCUUUUUGAGCCAAGGGUUCAGGC